AGUAAAAUUUCUCUUUCCCAGACGCUCCACUGCAAAAGUGCUGCCGGAGUUGCCAGAGUAGGCAGUGAUAAGAAAACGCGCGGAGUGCAAAGGGUUAAAGAUGACUGGUGGACUGGUGUUAAAUACAAUGAAACUCUUGGCAAAAAUGAUGGAAGUAUUGGCAGUGAAUAUCAGAACAUAGCCUAUAUUGUUGCCUAUGUUAUUGCAUUUUGAAUAAGUUGGUUAAUAUGGCCAAUAUAGUAAAUAUUAUUGGUGCUGAUAUGCUUACUGAAGCAGAAAGACAUGUACAAAGAAAUGGGAGACAUUUCCGAACCCGAGAAGUUCCAUUUGAACUUCCAGAAAACCAAUUCAUAAAAUUAUUUCGAUUAACUAGAAGACAGGUUGA
This is a long non-coding RNA of Harpegnathos saltator (Jerdon's jumping ant), 385 nucleotides long. RefSeq lists it as uncharacterized. NCBI's taxonomy places the organism in Eukaryota, Metazoa, Arthropoda, Insecta, Hymenoptera, Formicidae. The record is from RefSeq and is a predicted model, not a curated record. The transcript is spliced from 3 exons.